This 716-nucleotide long non-coding RNA is filed under the name Homo sapiens (human). Its description in RNAcentral is "non-protein coding lnc-MICAL2-2:2". Lineage: Eukaryota; Metazoa; Chordata; Mammalia; Primates; Hominidae. The record is from RNAcentral.
AAACAGUCUUGCUCUGUUGCCAGGCUGGAGUACAGUGGCACGAUCUUGGCUCACUGCAAUCUCCACCUCCCAGGUUCAAGCGAUUCUCCUGCCUCAGACUCCUGAAUAGCUGGGACUACAGGCAUGUGCCACCACAUCCGGCUAAUUUUUUGUAUUUUUUUAGUAGAGAUGUGGUUUCACCAUGUUGGCCAGGAUGGUCUCAAUCUCCUGACCUCAUGAUCCACCCGCCUUGGCCUCCCAAAGUGCUGGGAUUGCAGGCAUGAGCCACUGUGCCCGGCCUGCAAAUUCUUUUAAAGUACACUUUUAUAGUUGUAUAAUGCCAGUGUAGACUAACCUCUGUAACAACCAACCUUCAAAUGUCAAUGUCUUAAUAUCUUACUUUCGUAUCAAAAUACAAAGUGAGUCAGCAGGGAGACUGUUCCAGUGUCAUUCAGGGACCCUGACUUCUUCCAUCCUGUGGUUCUACCUUACCCUGGGUACUCUUCACUCAACUUAUGGAUGGGCAAAGGGAAGCGUUCAUCUGAGGUGGUCGUGUGAGUCUGUGUGAGCCUGCAAGCACUGCCCAUCUCUUACACCCACACCCCAUUGGCCAGAACUCUGUUCUCUGAUAAACAGUGGCAUCGUUGUUGUGCUUGACCACAAGAAAAGGAAUUGUGUGUCCAGGAAAGAGAGAAGAUGCAUGUAGCUGAGGAGUGGCAGUUUCGGCUGUAAAUAUA